RNAcentral lists this ribosomal RNA (494 nucleotides) under uncultured bacterium. RNAcentral's name for it is "partial 16S ribosomal RNA". It matches the Rfam family "Bacterial small subunit ribosomal RNA", at positions 28 to 507 of the family's 1533-position model. The record is from RNAcentral.
GACGAACGCUGGCGGCGUGCUUAACACAUGCAAGUCGAACGGUGAAGCGCCUUCCUUUUUGGUGGGUGUGGAUGAGUGGCGAACGGGUGAGUAACACGUGAGUAACCUGCCCCCUUCUUCUGGAUAACCGCAUGAAAGUGUGGCUAAUACGGGAUAUUCUGGGUCUGUCGCAUGAUGGGUCUGGGUAAGAUAUUGUUUCGGUGGGGGAUGGGCUGGCGGCGUAUCAGCUUGUUGGUGUGGUGAUGGCCUACGAAGGCGGUGACGGGUCGCCGGCCUGGGAGGGUGGACGGCCAGAGUGGGAGUGAGGCACGGCCCAGACUGCUACGGGAGGCAGCAGUGGGGAGUAGUGCACAGUGGGGGAUAGCGUGAUGCGGCGGCGCCGCGUGAGGGAUGGCGGCCUUCGGGUUGUGAACCUCUUUCGCCAGUGAAGCAGGCCUGCCUCGUUUGUGGCUGGGUUGACGGUAGCUGGAUAAGAAGCGCCGGCUAACUACGUG